This 516-nucleotide ribosomal RNA is filed under the name uncultured bacterium. RNAcentral's name for it is "bacterial SSU rRNA". It matches the Rfam family "Archaeal small subunit ribosomal RNA", at positions 345 to 866 of the family's 1478-position model. The record is from RNAcentral.
AACCUCCGCAAUGUGAGAAAUCGCGACGGGGGGAUCCCAAGUGCCAUUCUUAACGGGAUGGCUUUUCAUUAGUGUAAAGAGCUUUUGGAAUAAGAGCUGGGCAAGACCGGUGCCAGCCGCCGCGGUAACACCGGCAGCUCUAGUGGUAGCAAUUUUUAUUGGGCCUAAAGCGUCCGUAGCCGGUUUAAUAAGUCUCUGGUGAAAUCCUGCAGCUUAACUGUGGGAAUUGCUGGAGAUACUAUUAGACUUGAGAUCGGGAGAGGUUAGAGGUACUCCCAGGGUAGAGGUGAAAUUCUGUAAUCCUGGGAGGACCGCCUGUUGCGAAGGCGUCUAACUGGAACGAUUCUGACGGUGAGGGACGAAAGUUAGGGGCGCGAACCGGAUUAGAUACCCGGGUAGUCCUAACUGUAACGAUGCGGACUUGGUGUUGGGUGGCUUUGAGCUGCUCCAGUGCCGAAGGGAAGCUGUUAAGUCCGCCGCCUGGAGUACGGUCGCAAGACUGAAACUUAAGGAAUU